Long non-coding RNA from Chinchilla lanigera (long-tailed chinchilla), 2627 nucleotides. RefSeq lists it as uncharacterized. NCBI's taxonomy places the organism in Eukaryota, Metazoa, Chordata, Mammalia, Rodentia, Chinchillidae. The transcript has 9 exons. The record is from RefSeq and is a predicted model, not a curated record.
CAGAAACUAUCAUUACCGCAGCAACUAAGAAACUAAAGUAUACUGGUGGGGCAGCACUUUCUGCUACAACUCGACUUGUCUCAUUUUCAGGUUGCUAGUGAUUUGGGUUAAGGUCAUAGUCCAUAAGAAAACAGAAAGGACAGAAGCCAAGCUUUUUAGCUUACCUAAUGAGGAGAGAAGAACUAAAAUACUCCUUAGGGAUCAUCACCUCAAAGAGAAGGUUUGUGAACGCUGCCAUUACACAGAGCUAGAUCACCCUUCCUGGAUGAAACGGUAUGGCCUUCAGACAUGCUGCUUUCUCCUUGGCUUCUUUCCCUGCGUCAUGGAGUGGCCUUGCCUUGAGAAAUGCUGCUCCUCGUUACCCAUGAAAACAGCCAAGCUGCACUUAGUAAAUGCCAAUCUGAGUAUUUUCACCUAUUGCGGGGGCCUCUGGAACAUAACUCCCAUGACAGCAGGCCACCAUGACAGUCCUCAUUCUUGGCCUUGAGCUCCCACAGUGAUGUUCUGCCUUCUCACAGGCACAGAAACAACAGAACGGGCUGACCAAAGACAGAAACCUCCACAACUGUUUUUUUUAGUCCAUUUUGGAGUACGUGAGGAUUACAUUACUGUAUGGAGCUGUUAUCCCAUGGAUCAUGUUAUAUGGUCUCCUGGCAGUAAGUUUAUGAUAAACAACAUUUUCUAAGGGAAUCAAAAGGAAGAAUAUAUCUCAUUUGGAUGUAAAAAGGUUACACAGAGCAAAAUCAUUCCUUGGGAGGUAAGGUUGAAAAGAAAUGGGAUACAUAAUGGAGCCUUAUUAUAAGAACAGACAGGAGAAAAGAGUGGUUCCCCGGGGAAAACCAGCGAUUACUUCCCAGCCAGGCCUUCUGAAGGUUGGAGAGUCACACACAAGAUGGGUGUUUGUUCAGAGGAACUCGCAUUAUUCCUCAGAGUUAGGCAUUUAUUUUUUUUUGUAUGGUGCUCUAGCAUUCCCUGGUUUUGGUGACUUUUGUUCUCUCUUACCGUCAAAGGUUCUUGCAACAAUAAAUUCUUGUUUACUACGCAGAACUAGCUCAUAAUAUUUUUCAUAGCCUUUUCUUUUCCAAGGCUUGCACUACGGUGAUAAGAAUCACUCUGCCUGACUCAGUUAAAUUACGGAGGAAAAUAGGUUGUUCAAUUCGGUUUCAUUGCUUCUGAGCCUCAGGGGAAGCAGAGAGUCAUGGGAAUGCGGUGGAGAAAUGGCUCACCUCAUGUUGUACAGGAAGCAAAGUAGUGGGGGGGGGAGCAUCCGGGUGCACAAUGUACCCUUUUGUAGUGUGCUCCCAAUCAUUUAUCAUUCUGAGCCCACCCCUUGAAAUCUACACAGGUCCCAGUCGCAAAAUCAGCUGGGGACCAAGUCUUUGAGGAACGAGUCUUUGGGGAACAUUCCAGAUCUGAACUACAGAGAGUUUGAUUGACUUGGAACUUCACAGUCCAGUUCAAGGAAUGCCUGCUGGAAAGAUCUUGUAGCCACAGUGAGCGUCCUAUACCUUGAUAAAGUCAAUGGGCACAGCCAAGAAGCUGAAGGAAAAUGGGACAGUGAGGAUGAUUCAUGCAAAGAACUGCUACCUAAUAACUUCAGGUUGAGUCACACCCCACAGGAAGUACUUAGAGAUACCCUGUUGGUCAGAAAAUAAAAGAAGCUUACAGAUACAGUCACUUUUACUGAAGGAGGAAAUCAAAGAGGCCCAUACUUCUGGACAUCACUUAUCCAGGCCAUUGCCCUCACAGGAGGCUGCAGUGGACGUGACACUUUCUUCAAGAUUUCCUGUGUACGGGGCCAUCUUUUGUGUUAUCUUCCCCUCCUGUUCCUAAGCAUUCUUUUCCAGACUAGAAACAAGUCCAUAGUUCAAUCACAAAAUGAUCUGAAAAUUUGUCAAGAAUGAGGAACUAAGUAUAACUAAAGGAAAAUUUUUGAGAGAUAUACAGGGAAAACGGGAAGCCACGUACUUUGGGCAAUAGCAGCGGCAGAAUGACCUUAAGGGCACAUUGAGACUUGGAGUCGGUAUUUCUGGGAGGCGGCACCUGUGAGAAUCAUGGAGCACUUUGCUACUUUCUCUUUAACCUGAAAUUUGUUUAUGAUUCAAUUAUACAUUCUCAUUGCUAUUCUUCUUUGUCAGCGUCAGUUCAUUGUUGGUCUUUAAACACAAACCCACUCUCCAGUGAGCUUUUCAGGCUUCUAAAAUAGCACUGUGCUUGCUUUCAUUAUUUAAUUUCAGUAAUUAUUAAGGCACCAUUCUUAUGAUGCCAAAGUUAUAUUUUAUGGUAUAUAAGUUUGAAUGCUUCCGGUCGCAUGUGUGACUAAUACUACUUGGUAUGCACAAUUGUUUUCUUUUUAUUUUUAAUGAAAAAUACAAAAAUAUUUAAAAUUUCUGCCUUAUUAUAAUACAGUUAUAUCUAUUGUGAUUGUUUUAAACUAUGUAAUACAAAUCUGUCCGCUGAAGGAGUUCUCAGUUAUACUGAUUCCAUCAUAAUUUACAUUAAGAAAACAAAAAUCAACUCUGAAAUUUGAAACAACAGCAUAAAACAAGGGCCAAAAUUGUUAUUCUCUGCUGAUUUCAUCUAAGAUGUGCUCUGUAAGAAAAUAAAGCAUAAAAUAUAAUUACAAA